This 410-nucleotide ribosomal RNA is filed under the name Bacteroidota bacterium. RNAcentral describes it as "Bacteroidetes bacterium partial 16S ribosomal RNA". It matches the Rfam family "Bacterial small subunit ribosomal RNA", at positions 355 to 776 of the family's 1533-position model. Lineage: Bacteria; Pseudomonadati; Bacteroidota. The record is from RNAcentral.
UGGGGAAUAUUGCGCAAUGGGGGAAACCCUGACGCAGCGACGCCGCGUGCGGGAUGAAGGCCUUCGGGUUGUAAACCGCUUUUGAUUGGGAGCAAGCUUUCGGGUGAGUGUACCUUUCGAAUAAGCGCCGGCUAACUACGUGCCAGCAGCCGCGGUAAUACGUAGGGCGCAAGCGUUAUCCGGAAUUAUUGGGCGUAAAGCGAGCGCAGGCGGUUAGAUAAGUCUGAAGUUAAAGGCAGUGGCUCAACCAUUGUAGGCUUUGGAAACUGUUUAACUUGAGUGCAGAAGGGGAGAGUGGAAUUCCAUGUGUAGCGGUGAAAUGCGUAGAUAUAUGGAGGAACACCGGUGGCGAAAGCGGCUCUCUGGUCUGUAACUGACGCUGAGGCUCGAAAGCGUGGGGAGCGAACAGG